AUUGAACGCUGGCGGCAGGCCUAACACAUGCAAGUCGAACGGUAACAGGGUUCAGCUUUCCGAUUCGCUGACAAGUGGCGGACGGGUGAGAAAUGUCUGGGAAACUGCCUGAUGGAGGGGGAUAACUACUGGAAACGGUAGCUAAUACCGCAUAACGUCGCAAGGCCUAAGAGGGGGAACUUCGGGCCUCUUGCCAUUGUAUGUGCCCCGAUGGGAUUAGCAAGUAGGUGGUGUAACGGUUCACCUAGACGGCGAUCCCUAGUUGGACUGAGAGGAUGACCAGCCACAGUGGAACUGAGACGCGGUCCAGACACGUACGGGAGGCAGCGGUGGGACAUAUUGCACAAUGGGCGGUAGCCAGAAGCAGACAUGGCGCGUGUAUGAAGAGGGGCUUCGGGUUGUAAAGGACUAUGGGCGGGGAGUAAUGGAGUAAAGUUCUGAGCGAUGCUCAUUGACGUUACCCGAAGAAGAAGCCCCGGCUAACUACGUG
RNAcentral lists this ribosomal RNA (490 nucleotides) under uncultured bacterium. RNAcentral's name for it is "partial 16S ribosomal RNA". It matches the Rfam family "Bacterial small subunit ribosomal RNA", at positions 30 to 507 of the family's 1533-position model. The record is from RNAcentral.